This 590-nucleotide ribosomal RNA is filed under the name uncultured bacterium. RNAcentral's name for it is "partial 16S ribosomal RNA". The record is from RNAcentral.
ACGGUUACCUUGUUACGACUUAGCCCCAGUCACCAGUUUCGCCCUAGGCCGGUCCUCGCGGUCCCGGACUUCAGGCGCCCCCGGCUCCCAUGGCUUGACGGGCGGUGUGUACAAGGCCCGGGAACGUAUUCACCGCGCCAUGGCUGAUGCGCGAUUACUAGCGAAUCCAACUUCGUGGAGUCGGGUUGCAGACUCCAGUCCGAACUGGGACAGGUUUUCGAGAUCGGCAUCCGGUCGCCCGGUAGCACCCCUCUGUACCUGCCAUUGUAACACGUGUGUCGCCCCGGACGUAAGGGCCGUGCUGAUUUGACGUCAUCCCCCCCUUCCUCGCACCUUGCGGUGGCAGUCCCUCCAGAGUCCCCAGCUUAACCUGAUGGCAACUGAAGGCAAGGGUUGCGCUCGUUAUGGCACUUAAGCCGACACUUCACAGCACGAGCUGACGACAACCAUGCAGCACCUCGACAACUGUCCGAAGACUAUCCCAUCUCUGGAAUAUUCAGCUGCCGUUCGAGCCCGGGUAAGGUUCCUCGCGUAUCAUCGAAUUAAAACACAUGUUCCUCCGCUUGUGCGGGCCCCCGUCAAUUCCUUUG